This 1239-nucleotide long non-coding RNA is filed under the name Vigna radiata. Its description in RNAcentral is "long non-coding RNA (VRAD_LNC016590)". Lineage: Eukaryota; Viridiplantae; Streptophyta; Magnoliopsida; Fabales; Fabaceae. The record is from RNAcentral.
CUUGGGGAAUUUUCAGAGUUAUUGUUUGGACACAAAAAAAAGAAAAAUCUCUCUUUUAAAAAGUAGCUCACGACAUUUGCUAGUCUAGCCGUCACACGUUGCUUUUUUCAUCUUGGCUCUGGAACAAUUUUUUUUUUUUUUUGGCUCGCUAGCUAUGGAAUGGAGGAAUGCCGGUUUUAGUGAAUGAUGAUGAGCACACUCUAAUUUUCUUUGUGCCAAUGUUGUUUCUUUAAGAUGCAUUUUAUAUUCAAAGUGGUGUAUGGUGGGGUCCGGUGACUAGGUGGAUGGAGUUUUCAUUUACUUAUUUUGCUUGUUUGCAAUGAUUCACGUGCUAGAAGAAGGGGUUACGUUUUCAAUCUUGUUUUCCAUUCAAGUGUGAUGCCUUGACUUAAUUUGAAAAGAAUGCUGGAAGAGAUUUGCUGCCACAUCACCUUGGGUUUUUAUUUCUUGAACGUGUUUUGUUUGAUGGAAAAAUGAUGAAACGUUGUGGCUACUGGAGAACGUUCCCGCACCAAAAAAAUAUACAAUUAUUUGUAGCUUGGUGAAUGAAGUUCACGUUGAUAACUGAAUGACAAGCCAUCACUUGUUUUUUUUUUUUUUAAUUUUGCUGGAACACUUUUUUUUUAUGCUUAAUCAUUGAGCGCUGGUGGUAUUUGGUGGUAUAUGAAGGAGCAUUUAUUUUCACUUUAUUUUGAGAAGCAGACGGUGAUUUAGCAAGGAUGGGAUGGUGAUUUUAAUUGGGAUGCAAGAGGUGAUUUGAUUGAAGGACUUUCGGUGNAGCCUAAUGCAGCCAAUUAAUUGUGAGAAGUUCAUAUGUUUUGGAGAAUGGUGCAGGGAUGGUACAGUGGCUUAGGUAAAGUGGUUUUGUUUUUAUUUUUCUUUUUAGAUUGAUAGUUUCAAGGUCUGCACGGUGAUGGGAGGAAUGAAUUAUAAUCAGAAUGCUUUUGGGUUUUUAUUUCCUUUAAAAAGAAAAGAAAGGGUUGAGGGUGAUGCACGUGAUGGCUUGGUAAUUGUUGAAUUUGAGAGCACCAACCUCACUGCCANGAGGUUAAUUCUUUAGGCCAUUUGCAAUUAAAUUUUACUUGGUAGAUAUAGUAGGUCACGUGAAUGUGUNGGACAAGCAUGUUUGUUUACUUCUUUGUUUUGAAUUAAUUUACUUAGUAGGAUUAGUUGUUUUUCACUUCUUUAAUUUAGUUUUGCAUCUAAUUUAAUUUAACUUUGUUGGUUAGGUUUUUAUAA